Molecule: ribosomal RNA, 459 nt
Filed under: uncultured bacterium
Lineage: Bacteria
Description: partial 16S ribosomal RNA
Rfam family: Bacterial small subunit ribosomal RNA
Source: RNAcentral
CCUACGGGGGGCAGCAGUGAGGAAUAUUGGUCAAUGGGAGAGAUCCUGAACCAGCCAAGCCGCGUGAGGGAAGACGGCCCUAUGGGUUGUAAACCUCUUUUGUCGGAGAACAAAACCCGGGACGUGUCCCGGACUGCGUGUCUCCGAAGAAACAGCCUCGGCAAACACCGGGCCAGCAGCCGCGGUAAUCCGGAGGAUGCGAGCGUUAUCCGGAUUUAUUGGGUUAAACGGGUGGGUAGGCGGUCCGGUAAGUCAGCGGGAAAAUUGCGGGGCUCAACCCCGUCGAGCCGUUGAAACUGGCAGACUUGAGUUGGCGAGAGGUACGUGGAAUGCGCGGUGUAGCGGUGAAAUGCAUAGAUAUCGCGCAGAACUCCGGUUGCGAAGGCAGCGUACCGGCGCCAGACUGACGCUGAGGCACGAAAGCGUGGGGAUCGAACAGGAUUAGAUACCCCAGUAGUC